Molecule: long non-coding RNA, 227 nt
Filed under: Lathyrus oleraceus (garden pea)
Lineage: Eukaryota; Viridiplantae; Streptophyta; Magnoliopsida; Fabales; Fabaceae
Description: Pisum sativum (pea) long non-coding RNA (PSAT_LNC030533)
Source: RNAcentral
CAUUAAUUAUAUUUUUGUGUUUGACAAGACCUUCGGUCUUGUGCCUACGUACCAACAUAAAAAUGAGGGAUCAAAACCUCGUAGUUCGUGAUACAAAUUUCAAAGUGGAAGCCAUUAAUUUUAACAAAAUUUAAGUUUGAAAGGCACAAAGGCCUAAAAUGGUUUGAAUGAGUUAGUUCUUUUUUUCGCUUUUUGAAAGUUUAAGUCAAGUAUAGUUAAGUUUAUUU